Molecule: long non-coding RNA, 1075 nt
Organism: Nerophis ophidion (straightnose pipefish)
Lineage: Eukaryota; Metazoa; Chordata; Actinopteri; Syngnathiformes; Syngnathidae
Exons: 2
Source: RefSeq, a predicted model, not a curated record
CCCAAGUGGAGGAGUUCAAGUACCUAGGAGUCUUGUUCACGAGUGAGGGAAGAGUGGAUCGUGAGAUCGACAGGCGGAUCGGUGCGGCGUCUUCAGUAAUGCGGACGUUGUACCGGUCCGUUGUGGUGAAGAAGGAGCUGAGCCGGAAGGCAAAGCUCUCAAUUUACCGGUCGAUCUACGUUCCCAUCCUCACCUAUGGUCAUGAGCUUUGGGUCAUGACCGAAAGGAUAAGAUCACGGGUACAAGCGGCCGAAAUGAGUUUCCUCCGCCGUGUGGUGGGGCUCUCCCUUAGAGAUAGGGUGAGAAGCUCUGCCAUCCGGGAGGAACUCAAAGUAAAGCCGCUGCUCCUUCACAUCGAGAGGAGCCAGAUGAGGUGGUUCGGGCAUCUGGUCAGGAUGGCACCCGAACGCCUCCCUAGGGAGGUGUUUAGGGCACGUCCAACCGGUAGGAGGCCACGGGGAAGACCCAGGACACGUUGGGAAGACUAUGUCUCCCGGCUGGCCUGGGAACGCCUCGGGAUCCCCCGGGAAGAGCUAGACGAAGUGGCUGGGGAGAGGGAAGUCUGGGUUUCCCUGCUUAGGCUGUUGCCCCCGCGACCCGACCUCGGAUAAGCGGAAGAUGAUGGAUGGAUGGAAGUUGUGCUCAUGGGAGAGGCUGGCGAGGGGCUCCAGAAUCCAGGCGCAAAAAAAUGCACGUCGCAAUGAGUUUGGAAGACUUGGGUCACCAGAAGUCAUCCUGUUCCAGUUACGGCCUAAUCUAGAGCGGUGAUUUUCCACUGGUGGGUCAGAAGCCCAACCCAUUUUCAAUAGGUCUUUGUUUGGGGGAAAAAACACCAACUUUUAUGUUGAAUGGGAUUUCUCAUGCAGUUUUGAUCGCUUCUUAAUGUUCAUGCAGUUGGCGACUACUCAGUCUUCGAUAAUCUGUUCAUAGUCUACUGCCAUUAAAAUGUUGAAUGUGCCUAAUGUCUCGCUAAAGCUAAUGGCUGGGGCGUAUACGGGAUUAUAAAUGUAAAUUAGAAAAGAGCUAGCACGUUUGUUUAAAGAGAUUUUGUUUCUGAUGAAUGUCACAGAGAAAU